RNAcentral lists this ribosomal RNA (120 nucleotides) under Pteropus alecto (black flying fox). The record is from RNAcentral. Lineage: Eukaryota; Metazoa; Chordata; Mammalia; Chiroptera; Pteropodidae.
GAAGUUGUCUAUGCUACCCUGAACAAGCCUGAUCCUGUCUGAUCUCGAAGCUAAGCAGGGUCGGGCCUGGUUAGUACUUGGAUGGGAGACCACCUAGGAAGACCAGGAGUGAUAAAGGUA